RNAcentral lists this unclassified non-coding RNA (1028 nucleotides) under Hevea brasiliensis (rubber tree). Lineage: Eukaryota; Viridiplantae; Streptophyta; Magnoliopsida; Malpighiales; Euphorbiaceae. The record is from RNAcentral.
GUGGAUAUUUAACCCGAACAGAAAAUCCAAGAAUUUCUAGAAACGAACACUGACGAAACGGCCGAAAUUAGAGUCCAGAAAACAAUUCUAGCAACUACGGCGGCGGCGCCGCCGAUCAGCAGACCUCGUAGUCACGGUAGAGCAGCUCUCCAUCGACCGCGCCGCCGUCGUGGCGGAUCCCAUGGUGCUCCUUCUGGCGGCGCAGCUCCAUGACCUUGCGGUGCGAGUUUGAGUGCUGCGUGAGCACGAACGUCGGGCUCGACGCCGGCCGGUACUCCGGCACCAGCCGGCCAGACUUAUACCGCACGCCGCAGGCGUUGCAGAGCGUCUUCGGCCCCAUUGGCCCCGUCCGCCACUGGGGCGUCUUCUCCGACGCGCAGUGCGUGCACCGUCGCGCACCGCCGUCUCCCUCCUCGCCGCCCCGCUUCCUCCUACUGCUGCUGGCGCUGCUCGCCCGAGACGGGAACUCCGAUGAGGAUGACGAUGUCGACGACGACGUUGACUGCACCGCCGCUGAUGCCGCCCAGGCGGCGCUCAUGAGAUGGUUCUCUCGCUUGCUCCGAGCACUGCGGCCGGCGGUCACGGAGGGGUAAUUUGGUAAUUGUAGCUUCUCAGCGGAGGCCGGGAGGGGCGGGUAGGGGUUGUUGGAGAAAGAAUCCUCCACGAACUGGGAUAGCCACUCCAGUUCCGCAGCUUCCUCGCACGGCAUAAAGUGGUCCUCAGGAAAGUCAGUGCUCCGGUAUUCGGAGGUGAUGGCGGCCGGGGGUGGAGGAGGGGUGUAGUGGGCGUCGACAUUGGCGGCGGCUGAAGAGGGGAGGAGUUCGAGGUUGGUGAAGUCGAGUAGGUCCUCGAUGCGCAGGGUGUCGGCGGAGGGGAGGGCGUAGGAGUACAUGGGGGCGGUGGCGACGGCGGCAGGGGUUGUGGUGUAAUCCAUCGAUUGCAUGCCUAAGGUGAAGUUGAGCCCGUGCAUCUCCCACCCCGGCGCCAUUGGAGAGCGAUGUGAGGGGGGUGGGAGAGGAGGAGAAAUA